Molecule: small RNA, 35 nt
Filed under: Bombyx mori (domestic silkworm)
Lineage: Eukaryota; Metazoa; Arthropoda; Insecta; Lepidoptera; Bombycidae
Description: ovarian small RNA-30618
Source: RNAcentral
UGAAAUGUCACUCUCAAUAUUGUCAUUGUCACUGC